RNAcentral lists this ribosomal RNA (392 nucleotides) under Crustacea sp. 'Maxillopoda'. RNAcentral describes it as "partial small subunit ribosomal RNA". It matches the Rfam family "Eukaryotic small subunit ribosomal RNA", at positions 582 to 975 of the family's 1831-position model. The record is from RNAcentral. Lineage: Eukaryota; Metazoa; Arthropoda.
AUUCCAGCUCCAAUAGCGUAUAUUAAAGUUGUUGCAGUUAAAAAGCUCGUAGUUGGAUUUCUGUUCUCGAGGAUCGGUCCGCCUCACGGUGAGCACUGGUUUUUCUUGGGGACAUCCUCUCGAAGGCGGGUGGUGCUCUUAACCGAGUGUCUAGCGAUGCUGGCAGGUUUACUUUGAAAAAAUUAGAGUGCUCAAAGCAGGCUUUUACGCCUGAAUAUUCGUGCAUGGAAUAAUAGAAUAGGAAGUCGUUUCUAUUUUGUUGGUUUUCGGAAAUCGACUUAAUGAUUAAUAGGGACAGUCGGGGGCAUUUGUAUUCAAACGACAGAGGUGAAAUUCUUGGACCGUUUGAAGACAAACUACUGCGAAAGCAUUUGCCAAGAAUGUUUUCAUCG